RNAcentral lists this unclassified non-coding RNA (343 nucleotides) under soil metagenome. RNAcentral's name for it is "partial contains 5.8S ribosomal RNA, internal transcribed spacer 2, and large subunit ribosomal RNA". The stretch from base 1 to 120 matches the Rfam family "5.8S ribosomal RNA", at positions 35 to 154 of the family's 154-position model. The record is from RNAcentral.
GAUGAAGAACGUAGCAAAAUGCGAUAAGUAGUGUGAAUUGCAGAAUUCAGUGAAUCAUCGAAUCUUUGAACGCACAUUGCGCCCGCCAGCAUUCUGGCGGGCAUGCCUGUUCGAGCGUCAUUUCAACCCUCGACCUCCCCUUGGGGAGGUCGGCGUUGGGGACCGGCAGCACACCGCCGGCCCUGAAAUGGAGUGGCGGCCCGUCCGCGGCGACCUCUGCGCAGUAAUACAGCUCGCACCGGGACCCCGACGCGGCCACGCCGUAAAACACCCAACUUCUGAACGUUGACCUCGAAUCAGGUAGGACUACCCGCUGAACUUAAGCAUAUCAAUAAGCGGAGGA